GGCACACCUGGGUCCACGGCACACCUCAUACGGUCCUGCCUGCCCUCCUCACAUGGUUCCUGGGCAGAGCACAGAACCUGUCCAUGGGGUCAGGGGUUGAGGAACCUGACUCUGGUCCUGCGGGCCCAGGAGGGUCCAUUGUGACAGGGCUUACAGCACUCAUGACGUUACCAUUGCCAAGCACCCCUCCUCCAUGUUCUAGAACAGUCAGGACACUGGCCCUGUUUUCUUAGCAGGAGCUAAGGUAGAGGUGGGCAGACUGGGACUCUCUUCCGGCCCUGCUGACAUGGACACGCGCCGCUUGGCCAUGGAGGCCCUGAAAUCCCUGUUGGUAAAGGAGCGAGCAGCAAUCAUUGCCAACUAUGAGCAGGUUUGCAGAGAAGGGGAGCAGCUGGAGCCUCAGCAAGAGGAGUACUUGGCCACCCAACCAUCCCCAUGUCUGCUGGGGAUCCAGCGAGUCGCUGGUAAUCACCUCAUCUCCGGCGAUGUGUCGCUUAGGGAAGCACCUCUUUUGGAGCAUCACCUGCAUCCCCAGGCUCAGAACCUGUUCCAGGCCUCCGUCACAGUCCAGGCCCUGGCGGGCACUGGGCCAGAGCUGGGGCCCCAUGUACAUUAGGGAGGGCACUUGGGCUGCUGUCCAGCAAGUCUCUUAGAGAUCAGGAUUUCAGGUACUGCUGUCCUGCGGAAGGGCCAAGGGGAGCAGGUAGUGGUGCCCUAGUGUGUUUAGGGCCGGCGUGAAGACUCAUCUGGAAGGGACUCAGCCAGGGAGGGUUUGCAAGCUGGAAGGACCUGCCCCUGGCCCUGGUGCUGGGAGGAGAGCUGAGGACUUGGGUGGAGGAGAGGACCCAGGCUUUAGAUCUAUUCCCACAUUUGUCCCAGGGCAGGAGAGUCCAGGGAGCAGAGGAGGCAGCAAGGAGGCAUCAGAGGGCUGGCAGCAGCUUCUACCUGCCACCUUUUCUGUCUGGCAUUAGGGAGCUGGACUCAGGUCAUAACACCUCUCUGCACUCUCCCACCGCUCUCAGAGGGUGGGGCUGUCCCUGGGAGCAGGUCUUGGGAAAGAAUAAUCCAAGGAGAACAUACUCAGAGCCCUGCUGGUCACCCCACUGUCCUCAGUGGGGCAGGUGCUUUUCUGCAGGGGUAGAGGUGAGGCCUGGAAAAGGGAGUUGCUCUCACUUCAAGGCGGGGCCUCAGCCACCAUAGCGGGGCAUCUGGAGGCCUGGUAUGAGUCUGUUUGCUGAGGGGUGCAGUGGACAGGGGAGGGGAAGGGCCUUGGAGGAGCCCAGGCACCUGAGCGUCAGCAGUGGGUGGUCCUUGGGGUCCCCUCUCCAGGGCUGCUGGGCACAGCAGGUGCCCAGGCCCCUGAGCUCACACCAGGGACCCUCCCUGAGCGUCCUGCAGGAAGAAUUCCCCUUCUGCAGGAAAUGCUUAGUGAUUUUGGUGACAUCUGGGGAGCCAGAGGGGGUCCUGUGUCCGGAGGUGACACCUCCCCCCGUUCCCACCUUACAGCAGAUUAAGGUGCAGGGCAGGUUGCUGUCGGAGGUGGUCCAGCAGAUCAACGUGGACAUCAAAAGAACAUUUAGAACAUUUGGAACAUCAUGUUCCAAAAGCGCUAUGGAGUCAAGUGAGUCCUCUGGACCUGCAAGGGAAGAGAGAGGUCCCUGGGAAGAUGGGGGGAGUCCCAGGAGAGACCCAGAGUCCUGGGAGAGUCGUGAGAUCCCAAGAGGGUUGAGAACCCGGUGACACAAGUGCCAGAAGGUGCGGGAGGCCCUUUCAGCUCCUGGGUCAGUCAGCACGGAGCACCUGGGUAGACCUGGAGCAGGGACAUAGUGAAAUUACUUAAGGAUGAAGAAGUCUCAGGUGUUUAAAAAAAUGCAAGCCAAGAUAUAACAUGUAACACAUAGCUGGCCAUGGGAAGAGAAACAGGAUGGAAGUGGGAGAGUUGAAGUAGGCUAUUGAUAAGGGGCCCCUGAAUUACAGCUAUGGUGGUAAAAGAAGGAAAGCCCAACCCUGAGCUGGGGGGGGGGGCGGUACUGGGAUGGUCUAGAUAGACUGGGUGAGCCUUGUGCCAUUAACAGCUCCCUGGAAGGCAGAAUCUGGAGGUCAGGGGAGUGCAAAGGGCAUCUUGGGUGGGAAUAUGAUGAGGGCAUGGGCACAAGGCAGCAGGGCCCUAUGGUGCUAUGAUUGGAUGGGCAGGGCUAUAUGCAGGUUGGUAGUUAGCAUAACACCAAGAACAAGGCCACAGGAGGGCAUGGACUCAUGGAGGCUGUGGCUUUGAGGGGCCAGAGCCAUGGUGUGGCCAGGACUAGAGCAGAUCAACCAUGGAGUAAAUGAAGUCAGAGAGACCAAACGGACACCAUGGUUCACAAUAGUCACAUAUACCUAACAGCAUAGCCAAAGAGCAUAUGGUAUCUGGUUCUCUACAUGUGUCUUGGUUUGCAUCUAAUGAGUUGGGAUCCAUUUUUCUUAUGCAAGUCCAGAAUAUGCUCAUCACACCUGCAAUGCGGCUGCAGUCAAUACCCAGUCAGUGUCCACAUACCCCCACUGCCUUACCAUCUCUGAAUGGUGUUUCUGAUCAGAAGUUUGGGUUUUAUGUAGUGACUGGGGAUGGGGCAAAGCCACUCACUGUUAGGGACUCUUCGAGGGACAUGACUCCCAGGUUGGAGUGAACAGACACGGCUCUGUAUGAAGACUGCAGCUGGUUGCUUGACCCGAGGCUGGAGACACAGGGAUCUGCUCUUCAAUGGCCCUCGCCUAGGGAAGAUUGCUCAAGAAGAGAGAGGAGGAGGAGAAGAGGGGCUGGCCCAGGCUAACAUGGAGGGGAGCCUAGACUGGCAGGGAUAGUGUCUUCUGGGAGAGCCACUGGUCUCCACCACUAGGGUCCUGACCCAUUUCCUCUACAAGAUGUCAGUGUCACUUCAGUGAGAGGGGCUCUCAGCCAGCCUGAUCCCAGGUAACCUCAUGGUGACUUUGACUCACGGAGUGUGUGGCAGUGACACUGCUGACUGCUGACCUCUGAGGCCCAGUGCUGAGCCUGCUCAGCUUCCUGAUGUGAGAGCCUACACCCGCCAGGCCAAAUGUCCAGCAACUGCCAGCUGCCCAGCUGCAGAGUAACAGGGAAAGAAGCCCAGGAGCCCAGGGUUCCUCGCAGGUUACACAUGUGUGUGAUGGCCUUCCUGGGACCGUAGUCUGAUGGCCUUCCCAGCUGUCCUUGCCACACCCUGUGCAGUCUGUAUCUCUGUGAGUUUUAAACUCAGCAGCAUUGCCUGUCAAGGGCUGGGAGGCGAGGAGCUCUGAACGUGGGCCCUGGGGAUGCAGGGAUCCCCAUUCAAGCCACUGUGGUGCUCUAGAGCAGCACCACUCAGUCUGCAAUGGACAACAGGGCCCUGGCUGCUUCCAGUGGGCCUGUGCUUACACAGCCGGCUCCCAGGGUGCAGAUGUCACUGCAAACCUCUAGUGGUUGACGGGGGGCGGUUGCCUCCUUGUGCAGUGUCGGGCGACCAGGAGCCCAGCACGGGAUAGGGCCCUGAAAGCUGAGGCAGGAGUGUGGGCCUCUCAAGUCAGAGAGGACGACAGAGAAGCACCUGUUGGGUUGACCACUGUGGAGGUUUGCACUUGACUUGAAACUCGACAGCAGUUUUCUGUGGUAUGACUGGGAUCAACGUCCCAAAUGGUGUGAACACUAAGGACUUAGGACUUUGAAUCUCACGAGACCUGAAAUAGAGACCAAGCAGGAGUCAUCCAGGAAUGUAAGAGUGGACCCACAUGUACAGAUCCACCCAGCUACUAGUUCUCCAUUGUAAAACAACCGCAAGGGGAGCACCUGUCAGGAGAUGCUGGAAUUAGCCUUUGACACAGUCCAUGACCUGCUCAUGACAAAGACCCCCAGUGAACAGGGAAUAGGUGUGAACACACACUCAUCCUAGGCAAGGGGAUUUGUGAACCCACCACUGCCGCUUUGUGCUGAGACUGAACGCUUUCUCCUAAAUCUGGAGUGGAAGAUGAAUGUUCCCUCCCCACAUUGUACUGCAAGUCCCACCAGGGAACAAGAACAGAGAAAGACAAAAUGUGGACAGUUCUGAAGAAAAAACAAAACUGUCUUUAUUCACAGAUGACAUGAUCUAAUUUACAAUGAGCAGAAACCAAGCUCUACACAUUCCCUCUGUAAAAACUAUACAAAGGGGCCGGCGCUGUUACAUAGCGGGUAAAGCAACCGCCUGUAGUGCUGGCAUCGCAUCUGGGCAUCGGUUCGAGUCCCAGCUGCUCCACUUCUGAUCCAGCUCUCUGCUAUAGCCUGGGCCCAAGUGCUUGGUCCCUGUACCCAUGUAGGAGACCUGGAAGAAGCUCCUGGCUCCUGGCUUGGGAUUGGUGCAGCUCCAGCUGUUGCGGCCAUCUGGGGAGGACUCUCUCUCUCUCUCUCUCUCUCUCUGCCUCUGCCUCUCUGUAACUCUGCCUUUCAAGCAAAUAGAUACAUCUUUAAAAAAGAAAACUACACAAAUUCAAAAUGGAUCACAAAUCUAACUCAAUGUAUAACACUUCUAGAAGAAAACAGAGUAAAUAACCUGCUUUGAAUUGGUGAUGGGAUUUGGAUGAAGACCCAAAGCACAGAAAAUGAAUGAAACCAAUUGAUCAGAGGAAUUUUAUUUAAACACUUCCACUCUAUAAAAGACACUGUGAAGAUUAUGAAAUGAAAAGCUACAGGCUGGCACCACGGCUCAAUAGGCUAAUCCUCUGCCUUGCAGCGCCAGCACACCGGGUUCUAGUCCCGGUCGGGGUGCCACAUUCUGUCCCAGUUGCCCCUCUUCCAGGCCAGCUCUCUGCUGUGGCCUGGGAAGGCAGUGGAGGAUGGCCCAAGUGCUUGGGCCCUGCACCCGCAUGGGAGACCAGGAUAAGUACCUGGCUCCUGGCUUUGGAUCAGCGCAGUGUGCUGGCUGCAGCACACCGGCUGCAGUGGCCAUUGUGGGGUGAACCAACGGCAAAAGGAAGACCUUUCUCUCUGUCUCUCUCACUGUCCACUCUGCCUGUCAAAGAAAAAGAAAAAGAAAAAGAAAGAAAGAAAGAAAGAAAGAAAGAAAGAAAGAAAGAAAGAAAAGCUACAGAGCACUAGAUAAUGUUUGCACACAUACAUCUAAUAAAGGACUUGAAUCCAGAAUAUAUAAAGAACUCUUAACUCUCAAUAAAAACGCUUUAUUUAGACUCCCUGCUCAUUGCAAAUGGACACCAAACCAUCAAAGAACAGACACUUCAUCAAAUACACACACGAAAAGGUAGCCACCAUGGAGACGUGAAGACCACAGUGAGAUGCCAUGGCUCGUCUGAGUGGUUAAACCCAAAACACUGACAACACUGGGCUAACAGCGAGGGGCAGGGGGAUCUCUCACUCAUGGCUGGGUGGGAAUGCAGAAUGGGCGGCCCCUUUGCAAGAGGGUGUGGCUGUUUCUUCUAAGGCCCAACAUCCAACCACCAUCCGACCCUGACAUGUGUGUAGUUAUUACCCAACCACUGUGGAAUCUUAACUCCACAAAAAUCCUGCAGGCGAGGUUCCCUGUUUCAUCCAUAGUCAGAACAAACUGGAAGUGACCUCAAUGAGCUCAGCAGGGGAACUGAAACAGGCGUGGGUGAGAAGGAGGAAGACGCCACUGAAGUACACCAUGGAAGAAGCCAGACCCGAAAGCCGCCAUGCUGGGACUCCAGUCAUAGGGCAUUCUGGGAAAAGCCAGACCCGAAAGCCGCCAUGCUGGGACUCCAGUCAUAGGGCAUUCUGGGAAAAGCCAGACCCGAAAGCCGCCAUGCUGGGACUCCAGUCAUAGGGCAUUCUGGGAAAAGCCAAGCCAUGGGGACAGAAGAGAAAGCAAUGGUUACCAGGGGCUGUGGGGGAGUGGGAGAGUGUGACUCCUGAGGGGACACAAGGAGGAAGGAGCUGCUCCUGGAGCUGCUGGGCUGGGGCUGGGAGACUCCACAUGGGCCAAAGGCCUGGACUGAGCCUCUCACAGAGCACAUGUCCCUGUGUGCAAACCUCGAAAACACCCACUGGACUGAAAACGGGAAGGCAUGAGCUACCCCCAGGUGACCCUUGUCAUCAGAGGCAGAUUUGACCAGAAAACUGUAGGAACACCCAGCUGCUCCGAGACCCAACUGCUCUUGACAGAGAACUUGAGUCAGUGCUCAGUGCUGCCGGCAGGAUCGGUCAGACAAAACCAAGCAGGCUCGGCGGGCAACAAGGGAGCAGAACAGUCCUCUCUCUCCUCUUUCGCAGGCCGCAGGCACUGUUUCACAUGCUCCUGGCAUUCUCUGCAUCUGACAACGUGAGUAAUCCACGGUGCUGUUCCAGGCCCUGUUCCCAGGAGGGCCAGCUGACCAGGUCACAGAGAUCCAAGUCCACGGUGAGGCCUGACUGAUGUGGACGGAACCACAGAGGGGUGGGGCCUGGCACAAGGCUCUCCUUAGAGCUGACCACACAUUGUGAGAACAGGAAGUGAUGCCUCCCAAGUGAGGUCAGCGCUCGCAGGUGGGGUCAGCAUCCCAGGGAGAGCAGCUCUGCCAGGUGAUGCCCUUCCAUGACGUCACUGGCCCUUGCAGGAGGUGGGCUACAGGCAGGGUGUGAACUGGGUUGCGGCCACACUGCUCAUGUUUCUAGAGGAGGAAGAUGCGUUCUGGGCCCUGACCCAGCGGGUAACCAACCACAGGCAUGCGAUGCAGGGUAGGGGGCCUCACACAGCCAGCCUUGGAGGGGGGGGGCGGGGCACUCAACCAGGGCGAAUGCACCCCCCACCCCCAUCCGAUUCCUCAGUGUCCAGGACAAACAGGGCUGGCAGAGAGCAGCUCUCUACCAAGUCAGACCCUCUGUCCUCCCAUCACCAAGGGCACUGUAGCCAUCCCUGACUGCCCUUUGUGUGCUGUACCCACAGCCCUCAGAUUCCUUCCUGGCCAGGUGACACUUAUGUCCCUUUCACCCUCCCAUCUGUCACUUCACACAGUGGGCCACUGUCAGAUGGCAGUUCCCCAUCCUGAUUCUGUCAUUCUCAUUCUUGUACCCAAGGGAUGACCAUGCCCCACCCCCCAGUAGCCACCUGCAGCUCAGCCAAGCCUCGACUCCAGUGUCUUCCCUUCUCCUAACUGCCUUGGCCAGGUCAGCUCCUGGCUGACCCUACAGAGCCUCCCCUACUCCUGGUACUCAGGACUCCCUGAUGCUAUAUGCCAAAUUGCCCCACCUCCUGCAAUCAAGCUCUAAUUAUUUUUUUGUGGGGGUGCUGGGGGUUUCUCAGGAUUCUGUAAGACCAGUUGUCCCAAGGUGGAGAGACUCCGAUAUCACCAUGACCAUAUCCUAAAGUGUGUGUUCCCGAAACUAAAGAGGCACCUGGUAAAUAGAGGUGUCUCUCUCCCCCUGCCCAGGGGCCCUGUGUCCCGUGAGUGGGGACUGAAUAAAGGACCUGACCCUUCCUGGGGCUGACAAGAGACAAGUGCCAGCCAGGGCCGCUCUUGAGGUGUGAGCUCUGCAGAAGGCCAGGGGUCAGAACAACAAAGGAGUGUGCGCACGCAUCUACGCGCAGAGCGGCUUCAGCAGUGCUUCCUAGAUGGGGUGAGGCCGCCUGGGAGAGCUCACGUCCAAGGAAGCUCCUGGCUCAGUGUUCCCACUCCCCCAAGAUGGGGUGCAGCUACCCUCAUUCCUAGUAGCCACACAAGGGUCCCUGCUGGGCAGACUAGCAAAGCCCUGAUACAGAGGGGACGUCCCCAAGGCAGAGGGCAAGUCUCAGGCUCAGCAUCACAGGCAGAUCUGGCCAGGACCCAUCUUGGGAGGAGAAAGGGACUCCACAAGCCCCUGAGGUGGCCACUGCAGCCUGGAACUGAGCUGCUCUGAGUCGCUCCCAGAUACCAGCCCCGUGCUGAGGACUGACCCCCGGCCAUGCUGCAGCUGGUGUCUUGGUGAUUCUCGCGGAGCACAGAGCAGCCUCUGAGGCUCCCAGGCUAGUGGCUGUGCUGGGCAGGCCUCCUUGCCCCUUCUCUCUGGACCACUAGCACCCUUAUGUGGGCUGAACAGGAGCCCCCUUAGAUAUGGCCCCACAUCCCCACCGAGAUGAGUCCCUCGCUGCGCGAAGCUGCAGAACACGGUCAGAUGCAACCUGUCUGAGGUCUCUCCCCGUGCUGGGGGCCCUGGAGCCUGGCUCAGGCUUGGUCCCCCCACUCUGCUCUCCCCACAGACCCCUUUCCCUCUCACCCUGAGAUUUUGGGAUAUAUAAAUCCUCGAGGGUGAGCCAAUGCUCACAGCUGUGUCCUAUGCAGCUUCUGGGUCGUACCCUUUCUCCAGCUGAUGCCUCUGGUGCUCUUGCUUAGUGGCCGUGAGGGAAGUACAGAAGCAGAGAGAUGCUCGCUCUUCAGAGUUCAGAGCUGUCUUAGUCAACUACAGGUGUAGCAGCUAUUCAGUACAAAACAGGACAAAACGUGCACACACACACACACACAAACCCACUGCUCAUGCUGAAACUGGUGCUUGUGAAAUUUGUAAAGCACUUUUGGAAGGCACAGCUUCUUUCUCGUGAACGGUUUGCAAUAACCACAUGAAAAGGAAACACUAUAAACUGACCCUUAGGAACUUCGUUUACAAAGAUCACCCACUAGGAAACAGAGGAAAAGAAAAAUGUAAGUUGGGCCCAGCACUGUACAUAGUAGGCUGCACCCACAUGGGAGACCAGGAAGAAGCUCCUGGCUCCUGGCUCCUGGCUCCUGGCUCCUGGCUCCUGGCUUCAGAUCAGCACAGCUCUAGCUGUUGCGGCCAUUUACUGAGUGAACCAGAGGAAGGACGACCUUUCUCUCUGUCUCUGUCUGUAACUCUACCUCUCAAAUAAAUAAAUAAAAUCUUUUUUUUACAAAAAGAAAGACAGAUGUCCAUGUGUGAAGAAAUAGGGAACUAGGGACGGGUUCCCACUAAGCUGACUGGUCUUUUUUUUUCUGUAGAGGAAACAUAUUUCUGAAGACACUGUGCAUUUCUAAAAAGUGUCUCUGGCAUAAUUUUUGAAUCCGAACUCAUUCCUCACACUCCUCCACUUCAUCCACCCAGCACAGCCUGGGGCUGACACUCCUGUGCUGUACACCUUUGCCAUAAGGUGUUGCUGCCCAUUCUGCCAGAAAUGUUG
Oryctolagus cuniculus (rabbit) is the source of this 9128-nucleotide non-coding RNA. Lineage: Eukaryota; Metazoa; Chordata; Mammalia; Lagomorpha; Leporidae. The record is from RefSeq and is a predicted model, not a curated record.